This 1440-nucleotide ribosomal RNA is filed under the name uncultured organism. RNAcentral's name for it is "SSU rRNA". It matches the Rfam family "Bacterial small subunit ribosomal RNA". The record is from RNAcentral.
UAUCUACAGGCUUAACACAUGCAAGUCGAGGGGCAGCAUGGUCUUAGCUUGCUAAGGCCGAUGGCGACCGGCGCACGGGUGAGUAACACGUAUCCAACCUGCCGUCUACUCUUGGACAGCCUUCUGAAAGGAAGAUUAAUACAAGAUGGCAUCAUGAGUCCGCAUGUUCACAUGAUUAAAGGUAUUCCGGUAGACGAUGGGGAUGCGUUCCAUUAGAUAGUAGGCGGGGUAACGGCCCACCUAGUCUUCGAUGGAUAGGGGUUCUGAGAGGAAGGUCCCCCACAUUGGAACUGAGACACGGUCCAAACUCCUACGGGAGGCAGCAGUGAGGAAUAUUGGUCAAUGGGCGAGAGCCUGAACCGGCCAAGUAGCGUGAAGGAUGACUGCCCUAUGGGUUGUAAACUUCUUUUAUAAAGGAAUAAAGUCGGGUAUGCAUACCCGUUUGCAUGUACUUUAUGAAUAAGGAUCGGCUAACUCCGUGCCAGCAGCCGCGGUAAUACGGAGGAUCCGAGCGUUAUCCGGAUUUAUUGGGUUUAAAGGGAGCGUAGAUGGAUGUUUAAGUCAGUUGUGAAAGUUUGCGGCUCAACCGUAAAAUUGCAGUUGAUACUGGAUAUCUUGAGUGCAGUUGAGGCAGGCGGAAUUCGUGGUGUAGCGGUGAAAUGCUUAGAUAUCACGAAGAACUCCGAUUGCGAAGGCAGCCUGCUAAGCUGCAACUGACAUUGAGGCUCGAAAGCGUGGGUAUCAAACAGGAUUAGAUACCCUGGUAGUCCACACGGUAAACGAUGAAUACUCGCUGUUUGCGAUAUACAGCAAGCGGCCAAGCGAAAGCGUUAAGUAUUCCACCUGGGGAGUACGCCGGCAACGGUGAAACUCAAAGGAAUUGACGGGGGCCCGCACAAGCGGAGGAACAUGUGGUUUAAUUCGAUGAUACGCGAGGAACCUUACCCGGGCUUAAAUUGCAGAUGAAUUACGGUGAAAGCCGUAAGCCGCAAGGCAUCUGUGAAGGUGCUGCAUGGUUGUCGUCAGCUCGUGCCGUGAGGUGUCGGCUUAAGUGCCAUAACGAGCGCAACCCUUGUUGUCAGUUACUAACAGGUUCCGCUGAGGACUCUGACAAGACUGCCAUCGUAAGAUGUGAGGAAGGUGGGGAUGACGUCAAAUCAGCACGGCCCUUACGUCCGAGGCUACACACGUGUUACAAUGGGGGGUACAGAGGGCCGCUACCACGCGAGUGGAUGCCAAUCCCAAAAACCUCUCUCAGUUCGGACUGGAGUCUGCAACCCGACUCCACGAAGCUGGAUUCGCUAGUAAUCGCGCAUCAGCCACGGCGCGGUGAAUACGUUCCCGGGCCUUGUACACACCGCCCGUCAAGCCAUGGGAGCCGGGGGUACCUGAAGUGCGUAACCGCGAGGAGCGCCCUAGGGUAAAACUGGUGACUGGGGC